CACUCCUGCGGGAGGCAGCAGUAGGGAAUCUUCCACAAUGGGUGCAAACCUGAUGGAGCAAUGCCGCGUGAGUGAAGAAGGUCUUCGGAUCGUAAAGCUCUGUUGUUAGAGAAGAACACGUGCUAGGUAACUACUAGCGCCUUGACGGUAUCUAACCAGAAAGUCACGGCUAACUACGUGCCAGCAGCCGCGGUAAUACGUAGGUGACAAGCGUUGUCCGGAUUUAUUGGGCGUAAAGGGAGCGCAGGCGGUCUGUUUAGUCUAAUGUGAAAGCCCACGGCUUAACCGUGGAACGGCAUUGGAAACUGACAGACUUGAAUGUAGAAGAGGAAAAUGGAAUUCCAAGUGUAGCGGUGGAAUGCGUAGAUAUUUGGAGGAACACCAGUGGCGAAGGCGAUUUUCUGGUCUAACAUUGACGCUGAGGCUCGAAAGCGUGGGGAGCGAACAGGAUUAGAUACCCUGGUAGUCCCAUG
RNAcentral lists this ribosomal RNA (473 nucleotides) under uncultured organism. Its description in RNAcentral is "partial 16S ribosomal RNA". It matches the Rfam family "Bacterial small subunit ribosomal RNA", at positions 334 to 799 of the family's 1533-position model. The record is from RNAcentral.